UGCAGUCGAGCGAAUGACGAGAAGCUUGCUUCUCUGAUUUAGCGGCGGACGGGUGAGUAACACGUGGGCAACCUGCCCUACAGAUCGGGAUAACUCAGGGAAACCUGGGCUAAUACCGGAUAAUCCUUCGAAUCACAUGGUUUGAAGUUGAAAGGCGCUUCGGCGUCACUGUAGGAUGGGCCCGCGGUGCAUUAGCUAGUUGGUGGGGUAACGGCCUACCAAGGCAACGAUGCAUAGCCGACCUGAGAGGGUGAUCGGCCACAUUGGGACUGAGACACGGCCCAAACUCCUACGGGAGGCAGCAGUAGGGAAUCUUCCACAAUGGACGAAAGUCUGAUGGAGCAACGCCGCGUGAGUGAUGAAGGUUUUCGGAUCGUAAAACUCUGUUGUAAGGGAAGAACAAGUACGUUAGGAAAUGAACGUACCUUGACGGUACCUUAUUAGAAAGCCACGGCUAACUACGUGCCAGCAGCCGCGGUAAUACGUAGGUGGCAAGCGUUGUCCGGAUUUAUUGGGCGUAAAGCGCGCGCAGGUGGUUUCUUAAGUCUGAUGUGAAAGCCCACGGCUCAACCGUGGAGGGUCAUUGGAAACUGGGGAACUUGAGUGCAGAAGAGGAUAGUGGAAUUCCAAGUGUAGCGGUGAAAUGCGUAGAGAUUUGGAGGAACACCAGUGGCGAAGGCGACUGUCUGGUCUGUAACUGACACUGAGGCGCGAAAGCGUGGGGAGCAAACAGGAUUAGAUACCCUGGUAGUCCACGCCGUAAACGAUGAGUGCUAAGUGUUAGGGGGUUUCCGCCCCUUAGUGCUGCAGCUAACGCAUUAAGCACUCCGCCUGGGGAGUACGACCGCAGGGUUGAAACUCAAAGGAAUUGACGGGGGCCCGCACAAGCGGUGGAGCAUGUGGUUUAAUUCGAAGCAACGCGAAAAACCUUACCAGGUCUUGACAUCCCAAUGACCGUCCUAGAGAUAGGAUUUUCCCUUCGGGGACAUUGGUGACAGGUGGUGCAUGGUUGUCGUCAGCUCGGGUCGUGGAAUGUUGGGUUA
Molecule: ribosomal RNA, 1043 nt
Filed under: Kurthia gibsonii
Lineage: Bacteria; Bacillati; Bacillota; Bacilli; Caryophanales; Caryophanaceae
Description: bacterial SSU rRNA
Rfam family: Bacterial small subunit ribosomal RNA
Source: RNAcentral